This 1038-nucleotide long non-coding RNA is filed under the name Mus musculus (house mouse). Its description in RNAcentral is "predicted gene, 48824". Lineage: Eukaryota; Metazoa; Chordata; Mammalia; Rodentia; Muridae. The record is from RNAcentral.
UUUACUUCUUCUUAUUAUUAUUCUUGUUCCAGACAGGGUUUCUCUCUAUAGCACUGACAUAUCCGAAAUCCACUCUAUAAACCAGGUGUCUCCAACUGAGAGAUCCAACUCUCUCUGACCAAUAACUAACGGAAUUGAUUGUAUGUAGCAUCAUAAACAGUCCACAAUGCACAGAAAUGGAGACUGCAGAAGACUUGUAAAUGGAUGCUGCAUCCUCACGGAUGAACACAUCUCAUGUGAAUGACUACCCUCUUACAAAUGUGUGCAUGAAAAGACACAAACAUACAUGUAUACAUAUACCAUACACACAACUAAUUUAAGCUUACCCUUGACUAGCUUACAAAUAAAUAAGACUCAGACUAUGGUUAUUUCCAUUGGCUUUGACAAUUACUGGGGAGGGCAGCCCUCAUUUAUUCUUCUAACUGCUAUCCUGGUGUCCUCCUUUCUUCCCGAUGGUAUACCCCAGAUACUUGCUGUUUCUCAUGGCCAUGUCUCAUCUUUGAGACAUGGCAUCUUUGUCCUCUUUCCCCAUUCUUCCUCCUUUUCCUGGUCUCUCUUCCUUCUCUCUCUCUUCUCGACCCUCUACCAGGUAACUCAAAACCCACCUACCUGUAAUUUCUCCAGUAAUUGGCUGUAGCCAAUUUGAUUUAACUAAUAGUAUUAAAUCAAGGAACAAGGUUUGCACAACAGAACCUUGUAAAUGUGAGAAGUCUGUGGUAGGCUUAGAUCUUCGGGUAUAGAAUUUAGCAUUACAUACAUAGCAACAGACCAGACCUCAACACAUAACACAUAUUGGAAAACUAGCUAUGCUGAGAAAUAAUAACUUUUGUGGCUUCUGACAAUGCCCUUCACUGCAGCAUUCAGGAGGAGGACAGACCAGUCAUGAUGCUUGCCAAUCAAGCACAGGUACACACACGUACUGCUCCUUGCCUCUAGUUUCUCUGAGUGAGCAAAUGAUCUGCAUCUCUGGAUAAACAUACUCCUGAAAAAGAAUAGGGACUCUGCACAGUCUUUGCGCUGAAACGGGUUCCUUUUGGA